Molecule: ribosomal RNA, 253 nt
Filed under: uncultured bacterium
Lineage: Bacteria
Description: partial 16S ribosomal RNA
Rfam family: Bacterial small subunit ribosomal RNA
Source: RNAcentral
UACGAGGGGGGCAAGCGUUGUUCGGAUUUAUUGGGCGUAAAGGGUGCGUAGGUGGUCCGUUAAGUCAGUUGUGAAAUCCCCGGGCUCAACCCGGGAACUGCUUCUGAUACUGGCGGACUUGAGGCCAGUAGGGGUCACUAGAACUGACGGUGGAGCGGUGAAAUGCGUAGAUAUCGGCAGGAAUGCCGGUGGUGAAGACGGGGGACUGGGCGGGUUCUGACACUGAGGCACGAAAGCGUGGGGAGCGAACGGG